CCUACGGGGUGCAGCAGUGGGGAAUAUUGCACAAUGGGGGAAACCCUGAUGCAGCGACGCCGCGUGAGUGAAGAAGUAUUUCGGUAUGUAAAGCUCUAUCAGCAGGGAAGAAAAUGACGGUAUCUGACUAAGAAGCCCCGGCUAACUACGCGCCAGCAGCCGCGGUAAUACGCAGGGGGCAAGCGUUAUCCGGAUUUACUGGGUGUAAAGGGAGCGUAGACGGCAGCGCAAGUCUGAAGUGAAAUGCCGGGGCUUAACCCCGGAACUGCUUUGGAAACUGUGCAGCUAGUGUGCAGGAGAGGUAAGUGGAAUUCCUAGUGUAGCGGUGAAAUGCGUAGAUAUUAGGAGGAACACCAGUGGCGAAGGCGGCUUACUGGACUGUAACUGACGUUGAGGCGCGAAAGCGUGGGGAGCAAACAGGAUUAGAUACCCGGGUAGUC
RNAcentral lists this ribosomal RNA (440 nucleotides) under uncultured bacterium. RNAcentral's name for it is "partial 16S ribosomal RNA". It matches the Rfam family "Bacterial small subunit ribosomal RNA", at positions 338 to 795 of the family's 1533-position model. The record is from RNAcentral.